CGCGCUGCCUCAAUAAGGUUUUGAAAAUGGGUUUUCUCGUUGAUUAUCCACCGGAAAGCCCGCCUACCGAUAGCUAUUUAUCUUACCAUCCGUCGAAACUAUACGCACGCUCGUGAAAACGGCGAACAGGCAGCGCCAUCGGUUUUUUCACUUUUCCAACUCGGUCGAUCCGAGAUGUGACUUCUCUCAAGGCGACCGAGACUCUUGCUUCCUUCCAUCACGCCGCGCUCGUGCUUCUCCUUUUUUCCCUUCACUCAUCCAAGAGCGACGACCCGGCAAGCUUUCACAUGCCGCUUCUUCACAGGCUCGUCUUGUGUAAUGUUAUACAUUCGUGCACAGGGUGUCCGAAAAGUUACGAACAAAAAUCACGGGAAAAAUGUUUUUUAAAAAUCACGCUGUUCCGGAGGAAAAAGUUCGUGCUAAUUAUUCUCUGAGAUUCUCUGCUUUUAACUGGCGUCAUAAAGAAAUCAGAUUGGGAGCUGUUCAAUGCGGUUGAAAGGAUCGCAGCAUCGGCUAAAGGCCAUUUUUGUCCAACGGAAUAUCUAGGAAGGUAUUUUCGAUCGCGGAUGCUGUUUGGCACGAUGCGAGGAUGGGUUUUAUUCGGAAUUGAGGAAUUAUCGUGUUCGAAUGGAGGAAUGCGACAAUAGACGCGAUCUCGAGAUUUCUCCGGUCGUGCACAUAUCUAUACGACGAGUGGUUUCAUCAGAGACUACGAUAUUAAGGGGAGGGGCACACUUUGUCUCCCCGAUAAUUGAUCCAAUUACGAAGGGUUCUCUUGGACGCUCCAGAGAGGGAUUUCUCUCGUGGGCAGGUCACCUCGAGGCUUUCGCCACGGUCCAGGGCUCGGCUCUUUCGUCCGAUAUCCUCUGGGCGGGAUUCAUCCAGCAUCGUUUCUUCCAUGUAUAUGUUAUAUUGCUGCAAACCUCUACAUGUAUAUGUGCUCCGUCAGACCCAUGUUAUGAGCCAACUCGACCGAGAGAAAUAAUACCAUGUCCCAGCUCCUCCUACAGCUGCAUCAUCCAGGUAUUUUUGCUUUAUUCUCAUUUCGCUCUCCUUUUUUCUCUCCCUCUCAAUUUUUGGGAAUUUGAAACGCACGAGCUUAUCCCCUUUCAUCCAUAGCGUGUGUCACUCAGUUUCGUACCUGGCUCCCUCGCCAUAUUCCACCAAAAAAUGCCUACGAAGCAUUCCCCAUUAAAAUUUCAUUCGUUCGGAAACGAAGAUUUUCACGGAAUUUUUCUUCCUCGAGUUCAGUUUAAUACACUCUUUUUUAUCCGUGUCAAGAAGCCCUGUGAUAAGUGAAUAUCUAAGAAAAAUUGCGUUGCUCCGGUCGAUUGAAAGGAGCAUCAUUAUUUCAUGAGUCUCAGAAUGUUUUGAAGCGGAAAAAUUCCAGGCAUUUCGCAAAGACAUGCGAGCAUUUCCCAUUGAAAAUUCGAUAAUGUUUUGUCUGAUGCAUCAACUCCGAAGCCGUGGCAAUCCAGUGAGAUUUUCCACUAUGCAGACCGUUACGAGAAUUCUGAAACUGUAGUUUCUGGACUUUGGAAUUUUGCAGUUUCGACUCACACGAACAUGCACACAAGUCGAGAAUUUCUUUUCUACUGUUUAACCGCAAAGAUUUUGAUAGAUUUUCAAUACGUUCGUGCUUACUGAAAACACAAAAAAUGUAUUCACGAUGACAAAGCCUGUUAUGGGCAAAGCAUCGAACGGAAGUAAAUCCUAGAUCCACAAAUUCGCCGGGCCUUCGGUCGAAAACCGUUCCACUUGACGAGGAGAGCGUCCCAUGUACAGAGUGUCCUUAAAGUGUGUCAUCGUCAGUUUAGAGGCAAUAAAAUUAUAGAAUUACGAAAGCA
Molecule: long non-coding RNA, 1847 nt
Filed under: Venturia canescens
Lineage: Eukaryota; Metazoa; Arthropoda; Insecta; Hymenoptera; Ichneumonidae
Description: uncharacterized LOC122406463
Source: RNAcentral